CGAUUCUUGCUCCCAAAGCAUCGAUUCCUUCUCCCAGGGCAACGAUUUCUUCUCUCCCAAUGCAGCAAUUCAUGUUCUUGAAACCAUCAAGGUGAGUUCUCUAUUAAUCUCUACUUCUCUGUUGGGUUCUUUUCCCACUCUCAAAGGCCGACGCCGAUGCUUCUAAGACCUACCCUCAGUAAGCUGGCACUAUCCGUAAGGGAGGUCACAUCGUCAUAAAAAACCGUGAUUGCAAGGGUUUCGGACCAAAAAGAUUGUGGACGAGACGCAACCAAGUUUCUCAUCGUUUGUGAAUUUCAAACGAUAAUGCAUUUAUAAGUUCAGAUCGGUUUGGCGUGAUUCGGAGCGGUUCCCUCGGCGUCUAUUUUGUUCAUAAGAAAGUCAACAAAUGCGAUUUCUCCGAAAGGAGAAGGAACAAAGAAACCGAUUAGGUUAAGAUAUGUUGAGAAAGAGUUGGCUAAGAAAAAGGGGAAGAACGUUGAUGAGGCAAAUCAAGUUGAGAAUUAUUUUUAUGUUUUUCUUUUUUAGAGGAUGGGCAAGGAGUUCCAAUAGCAGUAAGGCACAUAGAAUCAAUGAUAAGAUGUCAGAAGCUCAUGCUAGAAUGCACCUAAGGCAGCAUGUGACUCAGGAAGAUGUGGACAUGGCAAUUUGUGUGUUGCUUAACUCCUUUAUUUCUACUUAGAAGUUUGGAGUGCAAGGCCCUACAGAAGAGUUUCAAAAAGUACAUGACAUUCAAGAAGGAUUUCAAUGCAAUUUUAUUGCAUCUACUGAAUCAACUUGUGAAGGAGGCGCUACACUUUGAAGAGAUCGUAUCUGGGUCUAGGACAGAUGUUACUCUUAUUGGCGUGAAGGUGGAGGAAUGCAAAUCAAAGCGUUGGAUUAUGGAAUCACGGAUUUGAAGGCGUUCUUUAGCAGCGUGGAAUUUGGUCCAGGGAACUUUGAAUUGGACGAAGAGUGGAGCGUGAUAAGGCAUCACCUUGUAAGAUGAUGAGUUGAGGAGGAACUUGUUAACUUUAGACAUUAGACUGACUGUCCCAAGGAAGAAACAACUUGCCCAAUUGAAAAGUUUGAACUUUCCAUCCAAAGUUUCCUUUUCAAAGGUGUCUUUUAUGUUGCAUUGCAUCAAUUGGAUUGUAAUCUAAAUCUGACACUGUUUCUUACAUUCAUUUAUUUAAGGAAGUAAAAGACUAUUAUUGG
Cynara cardunculus var. scolymus (artichoke) is the source of this 1197-nucleotide long non-coding RNA. RefSeq lists it as uncharacterized. The record is from RefSeq and is a predicted model, not a curated record. The transcript has 6 exons. NCBI's taxonomy places the organism in Eukaryota, Viridiplantae, Streptophyta, Magnoliopsida, Asterales, Asteraceae.